This 531-nucleotide ribosomal RNA is filed under the name uncultured bacterium. RNAcentral's name for it is "bacterial SSU rRNA". It matches the Rfam family "Bacterial small subunit ribosomal RNA", at positions 979 to 1509 of the family's 1533-position model. The record is from RNAcentral.
CCUUGACAUACUAAGAACUUUCCAGAGAUGGAUUGGUGCCUUCGGGAACUUAGAUACAGGUGCUGCAUGGCUGUCGUCAGCUCGUGUCGUGAGAUGUUGGGUUAAGUCCCGNAACGAGCGCAACCCUUUUCCUUAUUUGCCAGCGGGUCAUGCCGGGAACUUUAAGGAUACUGCCAGUGACAAACUGGAGGAAGGCGGGGACGACGUCAAGUCAUCAUGGCCCUUACGGCCAGGGCUACACACGUGCUACAAUGGUCGGUACAAAGGGUUGCUACCUCGCGAGAGGAUGCUAAUCUCAAAAAGCCGAUCGUAGUCCGGAUCGCAGUCUGCAACUCGACUGCGUGAAGUCGGAAUCGCUAGUAAUCGCGGAUCAGAAUGCCGCGGUGAAUACGUUCCCGGGCCUUGUACACACCGCCCGUCACACCAUGGGAGUUUGUUGCACCAGAAGUAGGUAGUCUAACCGCAAGGAGGACGCUUACCACGGUGUGGCCGAUGACUGGGGUGAAGUCGUAACAAGGUAGGCGUAGCGAG